Equus asinus (donkey) is the source of this 923-nucleotide long non-coding RNA. Lineage: Eukaryota; Metazoa; Chordata; Mammalia; Perissodactyla; Equidae. The record is from Ensembl.
GGGAAGAAGACUAAAUGGAUCCCACCUUCAUAAAACUCCUAAUGCAGUGCAGGUGAUGGACGGCAAAGCCAUGAACAGAAAAAUCAAUCACAGUUGUGACAGAUGCUGUGAAAGAGAAGUACAGGUGCUUGGAGAAGUUCGAAUGGGGCACUUGGCCUAGUCUAUGGGUUGAAGAAAAUUCCCUCAAGGAUGUGACAUAUGACGUGAGACCUCAAGGGGCAUAUUUAUUCCAGAGGUAUCCCCAAGUUAACCUGAUUCCUCAAGGAAAUCGAUGCAUUCAACCCAGGGAACAAUAGACUCUUCUUAACGCGUGUUUUCCAAGGCAUGCAGGAACGAGAUCAUCUGAUCCCACCACUAACACAACCAGAAAUGGGAGAGUGAACAUGCAUUCUGGACAGCGAGGACGACAUCACAGAGACGCUGCACGGCAUUUUGCUGACAAGGAGUCAGUCUGACAAGACACGUUGUCGAUCCCCUCAAGGAUCAAAUGGCAGAAGUCCUAGAUCAAAGGGCAAGAAAUGAAAUGAGCACUGGAGACAAGGGCAUAAAACAAGUGUACUGGCUGUGUGACUGGUGUCCCAAAUCACUCAAGAGUCUGAUUUCCUCCACUUGGCAGUUUGUGUCUCGGUCUAUGCUUAACAUCACUCAGAAAAUUCAGUAAAGCUGUCCAAUGUAAUGGCAACACCAGUCACUGCAGAAGGUAGAGCUAUCAUUUGGAGUAAGUAUUUAUUUACGAAUCAAUAAUAUCUCAAUGUGAGAUCUGCAGAGUAUAUGAAACUAAGAAGUUGCUUGAAAAUCAAAUAAAAUCAGAAUUCUAGAUCAUUCUACUUCUGGGUUCUAAUGCGAUCCCAUUCAGUUAAGCCUGCAGUCUACUCCUGGCUCAAUGUGCAACUUUCCUUUUGGGGACCUCCCCUUGGACUGCC